RNAcentral lists this ribosomal RNA (530 nucleotides) under uncultured bacterium. RNAcentral describes it as "bacterial SSU rRNA". It matches the Rfam family "Bacterial small subunit ribosomal RNA", at positions 976 to 1509 of the family's 1533-position model. The record is from RNAcentral.
UACCCUUGACAUGGUCUAGAAGGCUUAAGAGAUUGAGCUGUGCUCGCAAGAGAACUGGAACACAGGUGCUGCAUGGCUGUCGUCAGCUCGUGUCGUGAGAUGUUGGGUUAAGUCCCGCAACGAGCGCAACCCUUGUCAUUAGUUGCUACGAAAGGGCACUCUAAUGAGACUGCCGGUGACAAACCGGAGGAAGGUGGGGAUGACGUCAAGUCCUCAUGGCCCUUAUGGGUAGGGCUUCACACGUCAUACAAUGGUCGGGACAGAGGGUCGCCAAACCGCGAGGUGGAGCCAAUCCCAGAAACCCGAUCGUAGUCCGGAUUGCAGGCUGCAACUCGCCUGCAUGAAGUCGGAAUCGCUAGUAAUCGCGGAUCAGCAUGUCGCGGUGAAUACGUUCCCGGGUCUUGUACACACCGCCCGUCACACCAUGGGAGCGGGUUUUACCAGAAGUAGGUAGCCUAACCGUAAGGGGGGCGCUUACCACGGUAGGAUUCGUGACUGGGGUGAAGUCGUAACAAGGUAGGCGUAGUGCU